UUUAAUGUGUUUUUUUUUUCUGCUCAGACGAACGCUGGCGGCGUGCUAAUACAUGCAAGUCGAACGAACUCUGGUAUGAUUGGUGCUGCAUCAUGAUUUACAUUGAGUGAGUGGCGAACUGGUGAGUAACACGUGGGAAACCUGCCCAGAAGCGGGGGAUAACACCUGGAAACAGAUGCUAAUACCGCAUAACAACUUGGACCGCAUGGUCCGAGCUUGAAAGAUGGCUUCGGCUAUCACUUUUGGAUGGUCCCGCGGCGUAUUAGCUAGAUGGUGGGGUAACGGCUCACCAUGGCAAUGAUACGUAGCCGACCUGAGAGGGUAAUCGGCCACAUUGGGACUGAGACACGGCCCAAACUCCUACGGGAGGCAGCAGUAGGGAAUCUUCCACAAUGGACGAAAGUCUGAUGGAGCAACGCCGCGUGAGUGAAGAAGGGUUUCGGCUCGUAAAACUCUGUUGUUAAAGAAGAACAUAUCUGAGAGUAACUGUUCAGGUAUUGACGGUAUUUAACCAGAAAGCCACGGCUAACUACGUGCCAGCAGCCGCGGUAAUACGUAGGUGGCAAGCGUUGUCCGGAUUUAUUGGGCGUAAAGCGAGCGCAGGCGGUUUUUUAAGUCUGAUGUGAAAGCCUUCGGCUCAACCGAAGAAGUGCAUCGGAAACUGGGAAACUUGAGUGCAGAAGAGGACAGUGGAACUCCAUGUGUAGCGGUGAAAUGCGUAGAUAUAUGGAAGAACACCAGUGGCGAAGGCGGCUGUCUGGUCUGUAACUGACGCUGAGGCUCGAAAGUAUGGGUAGCAAACAGGAUUAGAUACCCUGGUAGUCCAUACCGUAAACGAUGAAUGCUAAGUGUUGGAGGGUUUCCGCCCUUCAGUGCUGCAGCUAACGCAUUAAGCAUCCGCCUGGGAGUCGCCCCCCG
RNAcentral lists this ribosomal RNA (918 nucleotides) under Lactiplantibacillus plantarum. RNAcentral's name for it is "bacterial SSU rRNA". It matches the Rfam family "Bacterial small subunit ribosomal RNA", at positions 1 to 890 of the family's 1533-position model. The record is from RNAcentral. Lineage: Bacteria; Bacillati; Bacillota; Bacilli; Lactobacillales; Lactobacillaceae.